GACGGAGGGUGCUAGCGUUGUUCGGAAUCACUGGGCGUAAAGGGCGCGUAGGCGGCCCAUGCCGUCGGCUCGUGAAGGCCCGGGGCUCAACCCCGGAGGUGCGGCCGAGACCCAUGGGCUGGAGGCCGGAAGAGGAGGGUGGAAUACCCAGUGGAGAGGUGACAUUCGUAGAUAUUGGGUGGAACACGGGUGGCGAAAGCGGCUCUCUGGUCCCGUUCUGACGCUGAGGCGCGAAAGCGUGGGGAGCAAACAGG
Molecule: ribosomal RNA, 254 nt
Filed under: uncultured bacterium
Lineage: Bacteria
Description: partial 16S ribosomal RNA
Rfam family: Bacterial small subunit ribosomal RNA
Source: RNAcentral